This 253-nucleotide ribosomal RNA is filed under the name uncultured bacterium. RNAcentral's name for it is "partial 16S ribosomal RNA". It matches the Rfam family "Bacterial small subunit ribosomal RNA", at positions 524 to 776 of the family's 1533-position model. The record is from RNAcentral.
UACGUAGGGUGCAAGCGUUGUCCGGAAUCACUGGGCGUAAAGGGCGCGUAGGCGGCUUUGUAAGUCGGGGGUGAAAGCCUGUGGCUCAACCACAGAAUUGCCUUCGAUACUGCAUGGCUUGAGACCGGAAGAGGUUAGUGGAACUGCGAGUGUAGAGGUGAAAUUCGUAGAUAUUCGCAAGAACACCAGUGGCGAAGGCGGCUGACUGGUCCGGUUCUGACGCUGAGGCGCGAAAGCGUGGGGAGCAAACAGG